GACGAACGCUGGCGGCGUGGAUUAGGCAUGCAAGUCGGACGGUAGGGCUUUAUCGUAAGAUAGAGUUUGAGAGUGGCGAACGGGUGAGUAACACGUAGGAACGUGCCCCUUGGAGUUGGAUAGCCACGGGAAACUGUGGGUAAACCGACAUAGACUCGAGAGAGUAAAGGCCGAAAGGCGCCAAGGGAGCGGCCUGCGGCCCAUCAGGUAGUUGGUAGUGUAAAGGACUACCAAGCCGACGACGGGUAGCCGGUCUGAGAGGAUGUACGGCCACACUGGGACUGAGAUACGGCCCAGACUCCUACGGGAGGCAGCAGUUGGGAAUCUUAGGCAAUGGACGAAAGUCUGACCUAGCGACGCCGCGUGAGGGAAGAAGGCCUUCGGGUUGUAAACCUCUGUCAUGGGGGAAGAAGUAAGUGACGGUACCCAAGAGGAAGCCCCUGCUAACUACGUG
Molecule: ribosomal RNA, 454 nt
Filed under: uncultured bacterium
Lineage: Bacteria
Description: bacterial SSU rRNA
Rfam family: Bacterial small subunit ribosomal RNA
Source: RNAcentral